This is an RNA transcript of Lycium barbarum (goji berry), 4229 nucleotides long. RefSeq lists it as uncharacterized. Lineage: Eukaryota; Viridiplantae; Streptophyta; Magnoliopsida; Solanales; Solanaceae. The transcript has 9 exons. The record is from RefSeq and is a predicted model, not a curated record.
GAGUAAUUGGUCUCUAAUACUCAAAAUUGGGGCACCAAUUAAAGCCCACUAGCUAAAGCCCAAUAAAAAUAAAGAUAAUGCCAAAAAUAAAGAAAUCUAAAAUUUGUGAAACUUUGGUUCAUUGUUCUCAAAGCAGGUAAGAAUGACUAAACUCUAAUCUUUCAUCCACUCGUCUGAAGGCUCACAUUUGUUUAGAAAUUUGUCAUCUCCUUGAACGGAUUUCAAUGAUAUUAGGAGCUAAUUUGGUGCAUAAAAGCAAGAAGGAUCGAGUGCAUAAAAGCAAGAAGGAUCCUACAGUUGUUUGUGAAAAGUCCAACGAAUCAAAGUACAACGAGAUUUAUAUUUUUUGCUUGGGUGAAUGCUACCACAAUUUCAUGCAAACAUGGAGUGUUAAGUCUCAUUGGUAAUCAUGAAGAUCAACUUGUCAGUCUACAAUACUUCAAGCACCUCCCCUUUUCCAUUGAUGUUUCAAACCUUAGAGGUGCAUAUAACUACACUUGAUAUAUUUGACACGUUUUGGAGACUUGAGUUUACAAGUAAAGAUAUAGGUUUUGAAGACUUCAUGCAAGUUGACAAGAUAAGUGUUUUAUGGCAGCAAGUACAAGUUAUAAUACGACUAAACGCUAAAGGUACAGACGCUCGUUUUGGAGAUCCGCCAGCUUAGGAUAUCUAUUCAGCUACUUUGGAGUGGUCCUUUGUUCCGGAGCCUAGCUUGUGCUGAAGAGCAGCAUCGACGGAAGAAAGUGAUUGAUGAUAUUGGAAGUUCCAAAGUACGCAGGUAAGCAAAGGUACGAAAGGUAUAUGUCGAGUAAGGUAUGGAAGUACGAUUGAAAUGUAAAGUUGAAAACUGAAAGAGAAACUAACAGGUGCAGUUUGAGUUGGGCAUACGAGGUAUGUUCAUCAUUUUCAUAUUGUUGUUGAUAUUGGGAGCCCUGUGUGGCUAUGAUACGAUAUGAUAUAUGUACGUAUAAAUGUUGGCCCUGUGAGGCAUUGUUGGUAUUUUCUGCGUGCAGGUUUUGGGAUAGUAAGAAGUACAGAGAAAACUCUGCCCAAAUUUUCCCAGAAAUUGAAAAAGAGAAUCAGAUAUAGGUUUGUAAUAUGUUUUGAAGGGUUGUGUCAAUAGUAAGGAUAGGAUUUGACUAAGUUUCCAAUACGGCUGACCUCGAGAAAUAAGCCGACUGUCGAAUCGAUGGAAAUAGUAAUUAGGAAGUCGAUUUCGAUAUGGUAAAAAAAAGAAUUUGGAAAGGGUUUAUGAUACUAAGAGAUGAUUUAGAAAAGACCGGCAAAUCUUGAUAAAGUGUUAUAGUAAGGUACCGACUGAAUUGAUAAGCAGGGAUAAAUUAUGAUGAUUUUAUAGUAAAAGAAGUAGUAGUAUGAUUAAGAUGAGAGUACAGAGGAAAAUGAAUUGUGACGGAUGCAAAUGUAUUGGUAAGACAAGCUGUGAGGUAGUGAAGCAUAAGAUUUACUAGGAAGGGUAAAAGGUUAAGUAUGCUUAUACAACACUAAUGUAACAUUCGAGGACGAAUGUUCCUAAGGGGGGAAUAAUGUUACACUCCAUAAUAAUUCGUGAUACUUGUAUUAAAACAAGAAAGAAUGAGUUAAGAAGGUUCAAGGAAAGUUAGUCGAGUUAGUAAGAAUAUCGUUAUAUAUAUGGUUUCCUUAAGUAUCCCAAGGUGACACGGUUACCUAAAGGAUUUGAAAUCACGCUAUGAGUAUGUAUAUGAGGUAAUGCGAGUGACCUUUUAAAGUAUUUGAGAUUAUUAGUAAUGAUAUAGAGGAUGGACAAAAGAUAUGAGUAUACUUUUGCGAUUGGAGUUUCGUCAAAGCUUUGUGAGUUCUCUAGUUAUGUUUAAGGUUAUUGUGAUUCUCCGGACCCUUCGAGAUGUGUAUAUGGAUUUUUAUUGAUGUAUAUAAGUGUGUAUAUGUAUGUAUAAGAGGUUACAUGAGGUUGGAAGAGGAUAAGAAGUUAAACGAAAUGAAUCGGGACAAUUUCAGUAAAAUCUCGGACCCGAUUUUAGCCUAUAUUGUAGGAGGCAUAUCUCCUAGUAUAUGAGGAGUUUUAAGAUGUUUCAAAAGCCUAAAAUGAAGUUCAUCGAGUCUAGUUUACAAUGCAACAAACCGCUUGUCAAAAUGAUAUCGGGGUAAGGCGAUAUGGACGAUGCAAGUUGGGCUGAGUAUUAAGACUUAAAUGUUCACAAAUUUUUCACUAGUGGCCGUGUGGGCCCCACAAACACAUGACAAAAUCAGAUUUUUGCCGAUGCUUAGUUGGGGGAACGUGUAAGGCCUUCUUUGGCAGCAAAAUGGGAUUAAAUUAACAAUGGUUAAAUUAUUAAGUGGGAUUGGGAACAAAAAUCAGUCCCUUAUUCUAAGCCAUGUUUGGUCGUGCAUUAUAGUGAAAUGGUCAAAGAUUCUUGAUCCAAAAAUUUAAGUGGACACAUGUCCAACUUGUGGACUGCAUAUAUAAGAAAAAAAAAUGCUGAUUCAUGGUUCAACAAGUUAGCCAUUUCACCUUCACAAAGUUGUGAGAAACCAAGAAAUAGAAAGAGAAGGUCUCGGCCAUGGCUGGCCGAGAAUCAACUCUAAAGUUAGACCAAAAAAAAUCAGUUUCUCCAUCAAAUCAACUCCUCAUCAAGUGCAUAAGAACGUGUAGUAGUUGUUGGAAAGAAACAAGGAGGUGUAGCAUGUCAAUAAGGUAGAAGAUUCGGCCAAGGUUGAAGAACAAAUUGUAAGGUAAGAAUGAUUAUUUUUCUUGUGUUGUAUGAUGAUUUGAAUGUACAAUUCGUGCAUGUUGUUGUUGGAUUAUUGUUGUGGUUAAAGUUGAGGUGAGCUGUGAGCUUGGGUGAAGCCGUGGUUGGUCUCAUUUUGCAUGUAUGGUUGAUGGAUUGAAUGUGUGUCAACAUAUGUAAAUGAUUAAAGAUUGUAAGAAGUUUGUUUAAGAUGUUGUAUAUUGGUAUUGGACUGUUUUUCUUGAAAUUGAAGGGGGUCGUGUGUUUUAGACUUAGAUGGAAUCAUGCUUAAUCUUCUUGUACAUGUAUUGGGAAUGAAUUGAAUGUGUUGUAAUAUGGAUAAAUGGAUGAAAAUCAUGAGGAUGUUAUAGUUGUGUUGAAGCCGUGUAGGGGGCUGUUUUAGGGGAAUUUAUGGACUGUUUUGUGUCAUAUUUUGAUUGUUGUUCUUAUGGACAUUAUGGUGUAUUGUAUGCAUAUUGAAUAUGUGAAUUGAGGUGUUAAAGAAACGAAUCAUGUUGAAGUAUACAAGCAGUUCAAAACCGUGGAGUAUUUUAAGGUUAGAAGUGAUUUAGUGUAUGUUGAAUGUUGAAUGUUGUUAUGAACAUAUAGUGAAAGUGAAGUGAAAUGAUUCAAGUUGAAAUGGAAAUGAUUUGUGGGCUGUUGUAAGAAUAAAAAUGAUGCUAAAACAGUUCCAAGAAUCGUGAAAGUAAUGUUACUAAACGUGUUGUUGUCGUUGUAAGUUAAAUCUGGAAAAUUGCUAAGUGAAAAUGGUAUUGUGGUAUGUGCUGUUUGGCCGUGAGUUUGGGACUGAUUUGAAUGAUGUACAAGCUGUCCAAAGUCCCCUAAGUCAUGUUAAACAAGUUUGGAUUGAUAUAUGAAAGAAUGAUUAGCAAUGAUAGCUUGUAGCACUAGUUGGUUUGAAUGCGAACGAAACGUCGUUUAAAUGUUAGAAAAGGAUUGUGAGCGUCAAAAUACGUAUUAAAUUCCUUUGUAGACUAAUUGUAGCUCUUGAUAUCUUGAUAUAGGAUAAGUAUUUUUGGGCAGCAAGUACAAGUUAUAAUACGACUAAACGCUAAAGGUACAGACACUCGUUUUGGAGAUCCGCCAUCUUAGGAUAUCUAUUCAGCUACUUUGGAGUGCUCCUUUGUUCCGGAGCCUAGCUUGUGGUGUAAAUCCCUUUUGCUGUAUAUGUAUGUGUUUAUUCGGGGUACGGCGGGGCCCUGUUCCGCCAUAUGUUUCUGUUGGUCUGUUUAGAGGUCUGUAGACGUAUUUGUGGGUGUGUGUGCCUACUUCUGUACAUAUGUGUUUGUAUGACCCUGUUCGUUAUGGCAGCCUUGUCGGCGUGCACUUUGUAUAUGUUUUGGGCCGUUGCGCCAUCUGUUAGCCUUGUCGGCUUUUGAUACUUUUGAUAGCCUUGUCGGCUUUUGAUACAUUUGAUAGCCUUGCCGGCUUUUUGAUAUAGAUAUAUAUAUAUAUAUAUAUAUAUAUAUUUAUAUAUAUGCA